RNAcentral lists this unclassified non-coding RNA (302 nucleotides) under Hevea brasiliensis (rubber tree). Lineage: Eukaryota; Viridiplantae; Streptophyta; Magnoliopsida; Malpighiales; Euphorbiaceae. The record is from RNAcentral.
AGAAAGCUUCAUUUGAAUUAGAUCCAACAAUGAAGGGCUCUUCCUCAACCGUAAACCAAGAGGACUAGGCUCAUCAAGCGGAUUGUAUUGUGAAGGCGGUACAGGAAAAUCAUCCGUAGAUUCGGUACCGUCACUUUGUUGCGGAGAAACCGUCGUCGCCGUUUUCGAUCGCUUGGGUAACGGACCAUGUUCCUCUUCAAGAGAGUCCUCGAUCUCGAGUUUCACCGGCACCUUGUCGCGAAACGACGCCAUAUCCGACUCCAGAGAAAGGUUCCCGGAUUUCAUCAACUGCACCAUCAAAU